ACGCGCUUCUCGGCGCUCACUCGGCGGCACCACUGCCGCAAAUGCGGCUUCGUGGUCUGCGCCGAGUGCUCCCGCGAGCGCUU
This is a microRNA precursor of Bos taurus (domestic cattle), 83 nucleotides long. Lineage: Eukaryota; Metazoa; Chordata; Mammalia; Artiodactyla; Bovidae. The record is from Ensembl.